CUCCAAAAGAGGAAGAUUUUGGUCUAAGCUUUUGAGCAAGAAAGGAAGGGAAAGGUAAUGGUGGUGGUGGUGGUGGUGGACUCCAUGGACCAUUUGGUCUCUGGCUAGAGGAUAAGCAUGACACGGUGGCUGCGGAUAUCGUCUAUGAUGCUCUCCUUUAGACCACAUGCACUGUUCUUCGUUUGAUGGGCUCUGUGGUCUUGAAGGAAGAAGAGGGAGCUGUGAUCUACGAUCCAUAUCUCGAUGAAUUGUUUGAAGAAAUGGCGGACCGAGAGGCGUCCACAUUGUGUGGUGCCGACCGAACAUGCCAUCUGCUGUGUUGGUGAGAUGAAGUGCCGAGUUCAAUGUUUACUGACUCAGAUGCACAUUGUCUCGGUACAAUGAUUAAGGGAGUCCCACAGCACAUCAGAAAUCCCAACAACGGUACAGCAUCCUCACAUCAAAUGGAGGAUAGAUAUGAGGACCUGAAUCUGCUGCCACACCACACAAUGGAAAGUUAAUGCUGCUUAAUGAACGAGCGUCAAACGUGGGAAUAGAGAUGGUAGGAGGUCCUGUAGAAGAAUAGAGGAACUGUGCAAUCUCAGAGGUGUUCACGAAAUCACUUGAACUCUGGACCUUUCACCGACUCUUGUCGUCCAGCCUGAAUGGGUGAAAUGCGUUCAAACCAUCAUUAACUUGGCUUCCUAUGUCUGGUGAGUCUCCACGUCGUCCUUCGUCGAGCACAUCAACUCCCACACUUCACAAACAUGAGAUCGAGUACAAUACAUUGGAGACGUGGACUACAUUCAACUCCCAGCACAUUGCAGCCAUGGAUGCACAAUAGGUAGGUAGCAUCUACGAUCAAGCAUGUCCUCGAAUGCUAUGGAAUGUCGGCAGGCCAACACCUUCUUCGUCGCCACCGAGUCAAUGCCACAGCAGAUUGUUGACACGUCCAAUUCAUUCUGCUCCCUUGCCCACCACACAUUAAUUCUGACAGCCCCCAACAGUGAUAUCAUCACCAUCGAAUGCAACACUGCAUCCUGAAUCGAUUGGUACAAUCUCCUGCACUCGAUUAUUAUUGCGCCACCGAAGGAGAAUCCAAAUCCGAGCUUGUCCAUCCAAAGUAUUUGGUCCAAUUGACUGCUUAUUCGUCACCCGAGUACGUCCAUCACAUCAACUCUGUCUGUGUCGUCGGUGAUGCACUGCAAUUCUAUUCUUAACCAGUGUUUAUUUGGGUGGCGUAGUA
Long non-coding RNA from Musa acuminata subsp. malaccensis (wild Malaysian banana), 1225 nucleotides. RefSeq lists it as uncharacterized. NCBI's taxonomy places the organism in Eukaryota, Viridiplantae, Streptophyta, Magnoliopsida, Zingiberales, Musaceae. The record is from RefSeq and is a predicted model, not a curated record.